CACGUAGGGGCGAGCGUUGUCCGGAAUUACUGGGCGUAAAGGGCGCGCAGGCUGUUAUGCGAGUCUGCUGUGAAAUGUACCGGCUCAACCGGUGCCUUGCGGCGGAUACUGCAUAGCUGGAGUACUGGAGAGGGAAGUGGAAUUCCCGGUGUAGCGGUGAAAUGCGUAGAUAUCAGGAGGAACACCGGUGGCGAAGGCGGGACUCUGGGCUGUGACUGACACUGAGGAGCGAAAGCAUGGGGAGCGAACAGGAUUA
This 256-nucleotide ribosomal RNA is filed under the name uncultured prokaryote. RNAcentral describes it as "partial 16S ribosomal RNA". It matches the Rfam family "Bacterial small subunit ribosomal RNA", at positions 524 to 780 of the family's 1533-position model. The record is from RNAcentral.